AUACGGAGGGUGCAAGCGUUAAUCGGAAUUACUGGGCGUAAAGCGCUCGUAGGCGGUUUGUUAGGUCGGAUGUGAAAGCCCCGGGCUCAACCUGGGAACUGCAUUCGAUACUGGCAGACUAGAGUAUAGUAGAGGCAAGUGGAAUUCCGGGUGUAGCGGUGAAAUGCGUAGAUAUCCGGAGGAACAUCAGUGGCGAAGGCGACUUGCUGGACUAAUACUGACGCUGAGGAGCGAAAGCGUGGGGAGCAAACGGGAUUAGAUACCCCAGUAGUCC
This 274-nucleotide ribosomal RNA is filed under the name uncultured bacterium. Its description in RNAcentral is "partial 16S ribosomal RNA". It matches the Rfam family "Bacterial small subunit ribosomal RNA", at positions 523 to 796 of the family's 1533-position model. The record is from RNAcentral.